This 253-nucleotide ribosomal RNA is filed under the name uncultured bacterium. Its description in RNAcentral is "partial 16S ribosomal RNA". It matches the Rfam family "Bacterial small subunit ribosomal RNA", at positions 524 to 776 of the family's 1533-position model. The record is from RNAcentral.
GACAGAGGGUGCAAGCGUUGUUCGGAAUCAUUGGGCGUAAAGGGCGCGUAGGCGGUUUUAUAAGUCGAAUGUGAAAGCCCAGGGCUUAACCUUGGAAGUGCAUUCGAAACUAUAAAGCUCGAGUCCCGGAGAGGGUGGUGGAAUUCCCAGUGUAGAGGUGAAAUUCGUAGAUAUUGGGAGGAACACCGGUGGCGAAGGCGACCACCUGGACGGAGACUGACGCUGAGGCGCGAGAGCGUGGGGAGCAAACAGG